GAUGAACGCUGGCGGUGUGCUUAACACAUGCAAGUCGAACGGAAAGGCCCAAGCUUGCUGGGGUUCUCGAGUGGCGAACGGGUGAGUAACACGUGGGUAACCUGCCCUGCACUUUGGGAUAAGCUUGGGAAACUGGGUCUAAUACCGGAUAGGAUCACAUCUUGGAUGGUGAGGUGGGGAGUUUUUCGGCGUGGGAUGAGGUCGCGGCCUAUCAGCUUGUUGGUGGGGUGAUGGGCUAACAACGCGUCGGCGGGUAGCCGGACUGGGGAGGUGUACGGCCGCCAUGGGGCUGAGGGAAGGCCGCAGCGCGUACGGGGGGGAACGGGGGGGAAAAUUGAUCCAUGGGGGCAAGGCUGAUGCAGAAACGCCGCGUGGUGGAUGGCGGUCUUCGGGGUGUAAAAACGCUUCGCUAUGGAAGAAGCGUUGUGUGACGGUACCUGGAGAAGAAGCACCGGCUAACUACGUG
RNAcentral lists this ribosomal RNA (466 nucleotides) under uncultured bacterium. Its description in RNAcentral is "partial 16S ribosomal RNA". It matches the Rfam family "Bacterial small subunit ribosomal RNA", at positions 28 to 507 of the family's 1533-position model. The record is from RNAcentral.